RNAcentral lists this ribosomal RNA (337 nucleotides) under uncultured bacterium. RNAcentral's name for it is "bacterial SSU rRNA". It matches the Rfam family "Bacterial small subunit ribosomal RNA", at positions 8 to 334 of the family's 1533-position model. The record is from RNAcentral.
AGGGUUUGAUCCUGGCUCAGGAUGAACGCUAGCUACAGGCUUAACACAUGCAAGUCGAGGGGCAGCAUGGUCUUAGCUUGCUAAGGCUGAUGGCGACCGGCGCACGGGUGAGUAACACGUAUCCAACCUGCCGUCUACUCUUGGCCAGCCUUCUGAAAGGAAGAUUAAUCCAGGAUGGGAUCAUGAGUUCACAUGUCCGCAUGAUUAAAGGUAUUUUCCGGUAGACGAUGGGGAUGCGUUCCAUUAGAUAGUAGGCGGGGUAACGGCCCACCAAACCGACGAUCAGUAGCCGGCCUGAGAGGGCGACCGGCCACAUUGGGACUGAGACACGGCCCAA